CGUACAGAGGGCUGCAAUACCGUGAGGUGGAGCGAAUCCCUUAAAGCGCGUCUCAGUUCGGAUUGGGGUCUGCAACUCGACCCCAUGAAGUCGGAGUCGCUAGUAAUCGCAGAUCAGCAACGCUGCGGUGAAUACGUUCCCGGGCCUUGUACACACCGCCCGUCACGUCAUGAAAGUCGGUAACACCCGAAGCCGGUGGCCUAACCCCUUGUGGGAGGGAGCUGUCGAAGGUGGGAUUGGCGAUUGGGACGAAGUCGUAACAAGGUAGCCGUACCGGAAGGUGCGGCUGGAUCACCUCCUUUCUAAGGAG
This 310-nucleotide ribosomal RNA is filed under the name Tsukamurella pseudospumae. Its description in RNAcentral is "partial 16S ribosomal RNA". It matches the Rfam family "Bacterial small subunit ribosomal RNA", at positions 1236 to 1533 of the family's 1533-position model. Lineage: Bacteria; Bacillati; Actinomycetota; Actinomycetes; Mycobacteriales; Tsukamurellaceae. The record is from RNAcentral.